AUGUUGGAAAAACCCCUCGCUGGGUGUAACUAUAAGUGGAUAUGGAAAACAAAAAUUCCUCUUAAAAUCAAAAUCGUUUUAUGGCAGUUAUCCCAAGACGCAGUGCUCACGAGACAAGUGAUGAGGGAGAGAAAGUGGCCAGGGAAUCCUUGUUGUUCUUUCUGCAGGGAGGUAGAAACUUCUAACCACCUUUUCUUCACUUGCCCCGUCGCUAGGGUGGUUUGGAGAUCUAUUGGGGUGGUGCUAGGCACUGAUAUGUGCCCUAACAACUAUUGGCAGUAUUUCACCUAG
RNAcentral lists this ribosomal RNA (291 nucleotides) under Triticum aestivum (bread wheat). Its description in RNAcentral is "partial small subunit ribosomal RNA". Lineage: Eukaryota; Viridiplantae; Streptophyta; Magnoliopsida; Poales; Poaceae. The record is from RNAcentral.